UAGGGAAUCUUCGGCAAUGGGGGGAACCCUGACCGAGCAACGCCGCGUGAGUGAAGAAGGUUUUCGGAUCGUAAAGCUCUGUUGUUAAGGAAGAACGAGUGUGAGAAUGGAAAGUUCAUACUGUGACGGUACUUAACCAGAAAGGGACGGCUAACUACGUGCCAGCAGCCGCGGUAAUACGUAGGUCCCGAGCGUUGUCCGGAUUUAUUGGGCGUAAAGCGAGCGCAGGCGGUUAGAAAAGUCUGAAGUGAAAGGCAGUGGCUCAACCAUUGUAGGCUUUGGAAACUGUUUAACUUGAGUGCAGAAGGGGAGAGUGGAAUUCCAUGUGUAGCGGUGAAAUGCGUAGAUAUAUGGAGGAACACCGGUGGCGAAAGCGGCUCUCUGGUCUGUAACUGACGCUGAGGUUCGAAAGCGUGGGUAGCAAACAGG
RNAcentral lists this ribosomal RNA (429 nucleotides) under Bacteroidota bacterium. RNAcentral describes it as "Bacteroidetes bacterium partial 16S ribosomal RNA". It matches the Rfam family "Bacterial small subunit ribosomal RNA", at positions 355 to 776 of the family's 1533-position model. The record is from RNAcentral. Lineage: Bacteria; Pseudomonadati; Bacteroidota.